GACGAACGCUGGCGGCGUGCCUAAUACAUGCAAGUCGAACGAGAGCGCCCGGUGCUUGCACUGGUCAAUCUAGUGGCGAACGGGUGAGUAACACGUGGGUAACCUGCCCAUCAGAGGGGGAUAACAUUCGGAAACGGAUGCUAAAACCGCAUAGGUCUUCGAACCGCAUGGUUUGAAGAGGAAAAGAGGCGCAAGCUUCUGCUGAUGGAUGGACCCGCGGUGCAUUAGCUAGUUGGUGAGGUAACGGCUCACCAAGGCCGUGAUGCAUAGCCGACCUGAGAGGGUGAUCGGCCACAUUGGGACUGAGACACGGCCCAAACUCCUACGGGAGGCAGCAGUAGGGAAUCUUCCGCAAUGGGCGCAAGUCUGACGGAGCCACGCCGCGUGAGUGAAGAAGGUUUUCGGAUCGUAAAACUCUGUUGUUAGGGAAGAAUAAGUGCUAGAGUAACUGUUAGCGCCUUGACGGUAGCUAACCAGAAAGCCACGGCUAACUACGUG
RNAcentral lists this ribosomal RNA (498 nucleotides) under uncultured bacterium. RNAcentral's name for it is "partial 16S ribosomal RNA". It matches the Rfam family "Bacterial small subunit ribosomal RNA", at positions 28 to 507 of the family's 1533-position model. The record is from RNAcentral.